UGAGGAAUAUUGCGCAAUGGACGAAAGUCUGACGCAGCGACGCCGCGUGGAGGAUGACGGUCUUCGGAUUGUAAACUCCUGUUAAGAGGGAAGAAAACAGCGAUCUUUAAUAGAGAUUGCUCAUGACGGUACCUCUAGAGAAAGCACCGGCUAACUUCGUGCCAGCAGCCGCGGUAAUACGAGGGGUGCAAACGUUAUUCGGAAUAACUGGGCGUAAAGGGUGCGUAGACGGUACAUUAAGCUUGUUGUUAAAUUCCCUAGCCUAACUGGGGCUAAGCGGUGAGAACUGGUGUACUAGAGGGUGAGAGAGAGAAGUGGAAUUUCCGGAGUAGCGGUAAAAUGCGUAGAUCUCGGAAGGAACACCAAUGGCGAAGGCAGCUUCUUGGCUCAUACCUGACGUUGAGGCACGAAAGCGUGGGGAGCAAACA
RNAcentral lists this ribosomal RNA (428 nucleotides) under uncultured bacterium. RNAcentral's name for it is "partial 16S ribosomal RNA". It matches the Rfam family "Bacterial small subunit ribosomal RNA", at positions 355 to 774 of the family's 1533-position model. The record is from RNAcentral.